Molecule: transfer RNA, 84 nt
Organism: Thermus thermophilus HB8
Lineage: Bacteria; Thermotogati; Deinococcota; Deinococci; Thermales; Thermaceae
Rfam family: tRNA
About the family: Transfer RNA (tRNA) molecules are approximately 80 nucleotides in length. Their secondary structure includes four short double-helical elements and three loops (D, anti-codon, and T loops). Further hydrogen bonds mediate the characteristic L-shaped molecular structure. tRNAs have two regions of fundamental functional importance: the anti-codon, which is responsible for specific mRNA codon recognition, and the 3' end, to which the tRNAs corresponding amino acid is attached (by aminoacyl-tRNA synthetases). tRNAs cope with the degeneracy of the genetic code in two manners: having more than one tRNA (with a specific anti-codon) for a particular amino acid; and 'wobble' base-pairing, i.e. permitting non-standard base-pairing at the 3rd anti-codon position.
Source: Rfam
GCCGGGGUGGCGGAAUUGGUAGACGCGCAUGAUUCAGGGUCAUGUGCCCGCAAGGGCGUGCGGGUUCAAGUCCCGCCCCCGGCA